UGGUUUUUUUUUUUUUUUUCUUGCCAGGAUACUGCCUGGGAUUUUCCUCCCCGGAUCCUAAAAGCAGGCUGAUUAGCCAUUACCAGAGAGAUGGUUCCUUUGACAAGCAAGUGUUUUGAUUGGAUUUUGAUGCCAUUAAGGACAUCAAGUGAGUCUGUUGCAUUCAGGGGUUGAACAAAGCCAACAGGUCUCCAGUCUCCUUCAAACGGGUUUCUUAUUCCAUAGAAAUUCCCCCUGGAGAAAAAUGAGCCUAAUUAAAGCAGAGCGCUCAGAGGCAAGCCUUAAGAAAGACUCUAUCCACAGAGAGAAUAAGCGUCGCAGGGAAUUGGAGGGAUGUGACUACUGGGUCUCUCUGGGUUCUUCAAGGAAACAAUUUACAAUGGUCUGCCCUGCAAGCUUUAGGAGAGUGAUUCCCACGUUGGCAUCAACAAUCUCCAGAACUUACCCUAAACACCGAUUCCCGGGCCCUCGCAUUGACUCCACUCCAGCGGUGGGGUGGGGCUCUGGAAUGUGUCUUUCAUGCACAGCCCACAGACCGGGUUGAUGCAACCCAUUGCAGGGAUGCUUCGUGGACCCCUCCCCUAAACCCCACAAAUAAAUACCUGACCAGAAGAGACAUUGCACCAGUCCAGAGCUCCCCAGGGUGGUGCCAAGACUGCAACCCUGGGGAAGCCAGUUUGCUAUUCAGGGCACGCAGUUCUAGGGAGCCAGGCUCGCGGUGCUCAGAGAUGGGGAAGGCCCUUCUUUAUACAAAAGGAGCUCCUGGAGCCCCAAACCCUGCGCGAUGUGGGGUCCAGGCCAACUGAACGAGAUCUUAGGACUGCCGCGCAGUCGCCCCCAGACCCCAGCCUUGCCGCCUGGGUGCAGCCGGGAAAUCUGCGGUAAGAUGUCCAAAAGACCAUUGUGUCGCCGCCUGCAUGCCAACCUCCUAGGGACCGCACCUCGGCCAGGCGUCCGCUCACGGUUUCUCAGCGUGACUUCAGCGAGAGCCUCCUGCUCCUACAGGGACGUGACAGGGAGCAGGGCUUGGUCCCCAACUGGGAGACCUUCCGAGGGUCCUGUCGCCCCGGCCCCGCCCCGCCUCCGAGAUGCCCGCAUCGCUACCAGGUUGGGAACCUGCGGCACCGGGCGCGUCCGAAAGCGUUCGACUGGGCAGGGGCGCCCCCUAGUGUCCCGUGCGAGCGCUGUAUCCUGUCCCCCGCGGGGGCUCGCCCAGACAUAGGGUCGAAGCACAGGUUCAAGACCGGAAGGGCAGCUUUAGCUUCUAAACCUGCGUCACAGGAGGCUGUUCUCCCUGGGUUCGUCCCCAGGGGAUGCUUAAAAAAGGAAUCUCGGCAGCGUGGUGGCCUAAGCCGACUGCGGUGAGUUCCAGCCCAGGCUGCAUUGUAUAGUUAAGUCCAGGGCAUUUGUGUCAACCACCACCACAAAAAAAAAAAAAAAAAAAAAAAAAA
Molecule: long non-coding RNA, 1451 nt
Filed under: Rattus norvegicus (Norway rat)
Lineage: Eukaryota; Metazoa; Chordata; Mammalia; Rodentia; Muridae
Description: long non-coding RNA NONRATT006151
Source: RNAcentral